RNAcentral lists this ribosomal RNA (484 nucleotides) under uncultured bacterium. RNAcentral describes it as "partial 16S ribosomal RNA". It matches the Rfam family "Bacterial small subunit ribosomal RNA", at positions 30 to 507 of the family's 1533-position model. The record is from RNAcentral.
AUUGAACGCUGGCGGCAUGCUUUACACAUGCAAGUCGAACGGCAGCACGGGCUUCGGCCUGGUGGCGAGUGGCGAACGGGUGAGUAAUAUAUCGGAACGUACCCAGAAGUGGGGGAUAACGUAGCGAAAGUUACGCUAAUACCGCAUACGAUCUAUGGAUGAAAGCAGGGGACCGCAAGGCCUUGUGCUCCUGGAGCGGCCGAUAUCUGAUUAGCUAGUUGGUGAGGUAAAGGCUCACCAAGGCGACGAUCAGUAGCUGGUCUGAGAGGACGACCAGCCACACUGGAACUGAGACACGGUCCAGACUCCUACGGGAGGCAGCAGUGGGGAAUUUUGGACAAUGGGCGCAAGCCUGAUCCAGCAAUGCCGCGUGAGUGAAGAAGGCCUUCGGGUUGUAAAGCUCUUUUGUCAGGGAAGAAACGGUAGAGGCUAAUAUCCUUUGCUAAUGACAGUACCUGAAGAAUAAGCACCGGCUAACUACGUG